Molecule: transfer RNA, 55 nt
Filed under: Sicarius sp. GJB-2008
Lineage: Eukaryota; Metazoa; Arthropoda; Arachnida; Araneae; Sicariidae
Description: tRNA-Leu
Source: RNAcentral
AAAUUAACAUUAUAGCAAAAUAAUGCGUUAAACUUAGAAUUUAAUUAUCCUUAAA